This 301-nucleotide ribosomal RNA is filed under the name uncultured bacterium. RNAcentral's name for it is "partial 16S ribosomal RNA". It matches the Rfam family "Bacterial small subunit ribosomal RNA", at positions 509 to 807 of the family's 1533-position model. The record is from RNAcentral.
CAGCCGCCGCGGUAAUACGAAGGGUGCAAGCGUUACUCGGAAUUACUGGGCGUAAAGCGUGUGUAGGUGGUUGUUUAAGUCUGUCGUGAAAGCCCUGGGCUCAACCUGGGAAUUGCGAUGGAUACUGGGCGACUAGAGUGCGGUAGAGGAUAGUGGAAUUUCCGGUGUAGCAGUGAAAUGCGUAGAGAUCGGAAGGAACAUCUGUGGCGAAGGCGACUAUCUGGGCCAACACUGACACUGAGACACGAAGGCGUGGGGAGCAAACAGGAUUAGAUACCCCCGUAGUCCCUGUCUCUUAUAC